UUUUUUUUAUUUCUUCUCCACCAUCUUUUCUUUUCCUACAAAGAUUUUGUCCAAGAUGGUGAAGGAAUACUUUGCGACUGAGAUAGACAUGGCAAUGACGAGUUGUCACAACGAUCUCGUAGCUUCCUAGCGUGAAUCGAGGAUUAAGUCUUUCAAAGGAUGGGUCUUUGAAGAUGGAGUUGGAGCAAAUUUUUGGCACAAAAGAAGCAAAGACAUGCGCAGACGUCAAAGCUGCCACGUAUGUUUAUCAGCGGGAGGUGGUACAUCGGAGGGUUCAGAAUAUUCACUGUUUUAAACUUCAUGGGAAGAUUUGUCUUCUUUCCUCCAUUAAUGAUAUUAAGCUACCAAUGAUGUUUUCCAUCUUGUUGUUGCAGAUUUAUUGUUCCUUCACCAAUUCUUCAUUUAUCCAUUAUGAAGAAAUUUUUAUUACAUACUUAAUCUUUUAGUUUCUAGUACUUAUUCAAUGAUUUGAAUUGUUUGUUUUAAUGGUUGUUACAAUUCGAGAUCUGUUUGGAUUAUGUAUUGUGAAAAUAUUUACAGGAGUGGCUAUA
This 551-nucleotide long non-coding RNA is filed under the name Brassica napus (rape). Its description in RNAcentral is "long non-coding RNA (BNAP_LNC023238)". The record is from RNAcentral. Lineage: Eukaryota; Viridiplantae; Streptophyta; Magnoliopsida; Brassicales; Brassicaceae.